Molecule: ribosomal RNA, 253 nt
Filed under: uncultured bacterium
Lineage: Bacteria
Description: partial 16S ribosomal RNA
Rfam family: Bacterial small subunit ribosomal RNA
Source: RNAcentral
UACGGGGGGGCGAGCGUUGUUCGGAAUCACUGGGCGUAAAGGGCGCGUAGGCGGCCCGCACAAGUCUGCGGUGAAAACCCCCGGCUUAACCGGGGGCCGGCCGUGGAAACUGUCGGGCUGGAGGCUGGGAGAGGGCAGCGGAAUUCCCGGUGUAGCGGUGAAAUGCGUAGAGAUCGGGAGGAACACCGGCGGCGAAGGCGGCUGCCUGGACCAGUCCCGACGCUGAGGCGCGAAAGCUAGGGGAGCAAACAGG